Picea glauca (white spruce) is the source of this 47-nucleotide non-coding RNA. The record is from Rfam. NCBI's taxonomy places the organism in Eukaryota, Viridiplantae, Streptophyta, Pinopsida, Pinales, Pinaceae.
GUAACGGUGUCUUUAGACACCACCAUUUAUCUUCAAAAAAAUUUAUU